GCUGGGAGCCAUAGACCUCGAAGCUGGGGCGUCUGACACCUGAGGCCCGAAGAUAGUGGCCGCAGUUGUAUUAUCUUGUGCAUUUGUCAAGAGAGGUCAUCCGAACGCUGAGAUAAAGGCUUGGGAUUCCAUUGUCUCAUCUCUUUCUGGGAGUGAUUUUCCUCUCAUCUGGAAGUGCAGAGACAGAGUCUUCAUAGGGAACUGAGAUUACCUCCAAAAAACAUUUGUGAAGUGAGCAAUUCCUAGAAGGCUGUUAAUGUUGAUUAAUGAAAUUAUACAAAAAGAAUCAUAAGAUAGCUGGAGAAGAAAAUUAUCUGUGAUGCCUGGAAAAGAUACGUCC
Molecule: long non-coding RNA, 340 nt
Filed under: Homo sapiens (human)
Lineage: Eukaryota; Metazoa; Chordata; Mammalia; Primates; Hominidae
Description: non-protein coding ZNF30-AS1:6
Source: RNAcentral